RNAcentral lists this transfer RNA (64 nucleotides) under Macoma balthica. Its description in RNAcentral is "Limecola balthica tRNA-His". The record is from RNAcentral. Lineage: Eukaryota; Metazoa; Mollusca; Bivalvia; Cardiida; Tellinidae.
UCGGAUAUAGUUUACUAAAAAUGUUGCGUUGUGGUUGCAAAGUUGGGGAUUACCUCUGUUCGUA